RNAcentral lists this long non-coding RNA (379 nucleotides) under Oryctolagus cuniculus (rabbit). RNAcentral's name for it is "lncRNA (ENSOCUG00000030842.1)". The record is from RNAcentral. Lineage: Eukaryota; Metazoa; Chordata; Mammalia; Lagomorpha; Leporidae.
AUGUUUCCAGGUCUCUUGCUGAAGUUUUCUAUGCUAAGAAUGCAAUUUUUUCUUCUCAAUCAGCAUGGAUUGUGUGUUACCAAACCUGAGGUGAUCUUCAAGUUGGAGCAAAGAACAGAGCCAUGGAUGCUAGGAGAAGUCCUAAAUCAGAAACUUUCAGAACAUGUAUGGAGAGGAGGCUUGGGGUCUAAGUCUAAACAUGGACAAGGCCAUGGACAGCCUUCAAGGACAAAAAGAAAGGGAUGCUCCCUAGCUACACAUGAAUUUAUAGUAUUUUCUAAGUGCUUUCUCUGAAUCUUGGCUUUAUAAUUUUAAUUAAAAUAUACUAAUGGAGACAAGUUUGAAUAAAAAAUGAUUCAUAUAUAAUCUGAAUUUGUAU